RNAcentral lists this long non-coding RNA (6430 nucleotides) under Setaria italica (foxtail millet). Its description in RNAcentral is "long non-coding RNA (SITA_LNC002260)". Lineage: Eukaryota; Viridiplantae; Streptophyta; Magnoliopsida; Poales; Poaceae. The record is from RNAcentral.
GCGAUUCCAGCUUGGCUCAAGCCUACGCGGCUACGGCAAUCCACUCGAGCUUGACUCCGUACGGCCGGCGGAGCCCCCGUGGCGGCACUCGCCCGCACGGCGGCGCACAGCCAGGCUUGGCUAAGUGUCAUGAACUGACGAAGGCGGACAGAAGACGGGAGUUAGAAAAUACGCUUUUGUUCUGAUGUUUACGUUUUAUGUAACGCUGUCAUGUGGGACCGGUCGGUCAGUGUCUGUAACCGGAAGGAGUCGGGCUUAUAGUGUACCUGAUCCAAAACUGCUGUUCAUCUUCUGAAACAAGGAAUAGAACACUCUUCAAGGGGAUCAAGGUCCUCUGCCCUCCUCACCGAUAUCCACCGUGUCUCUGCUCACGUUGACGGCGGUCCGCCGGCGGCCACGGGUGUUACAGUGGUAUCGGAUUCCGUUCGUCCUCGGCGCGCUGCUGCUAUGCCUCCAUUAUCCCGGCGAUUGACCUCGCAUAGCGACUGGUAGAGUGAGAUCGGGUUUUGUGCCGCGCAGCACCGGCCACUACCCUGAUUUCCUCGUAAUUACUGAGCACGCGGGUCGAUUUACGGAGGGGGUUCGCCUCGGCACAUCCGAUUUUACCGGGUCCCUUGCUCAUUUGGUCCGCAACAUCUUCUCCUACCGGAAUUUUGUGGAUCUGGUUUUCUUCCUCAUCUGUCUGGAGGCGCGGGUGUUGGGUUCGUUGGUGGAAUUUCUCUUGAGAGGCGGCGUGUGGUGGCGGUAGAACGGAUCAAUUCACUGUCCUGGGCGUCGCGUCGAUCUUCUCCGACACGUGUUUGCAGGAGCUGCUAGUCGACUGCUAUCAUCCGCGGCUUGCGCAGUUGCAGCGCGUGCCUCUGACCAGAGCUAACACCAGCACGCCGUGCAUCUCGUUGAGCUUUGGGUGCAGUCACAACGGGUCCUCCUAAGCCCUCAGUACAGACCACCUUGCUGUUAGCAAAGAUGGAGGAACAGACAACUAAAGAUGAUGCAAGAUGGGAACAAAUUACUGAAAGUCUGGAUCUCUUGUUUGCCAAGGUGGGUGAGAUUGAUGUAAGUCAGCAGAAAUUGGACACUCGCUUUGAUAUGUCUACAAAGGUCCUUGAGCAGCUGUUAAAAGAUCAACAGGUCUUGGCCAAGCAAAUGGAAAAUACAGGCCAGGCAGUGGCACAACUCACAUUGGCACAGAUGGCAGCACGGAGAGACCCCCCAAGUCCUACAGCAUCAGAGGUGUCCAUGGAGCAGCCAUUCUAUCAGAACACGACAAGGGCUGAAAGGGGCAGUGCUACUCCAAGGUUUGGUUUUCAGUCUGACAGACCAAGAAAGGAAGAUACGUUCCGUCCCAAGGUGGUUUUGCCUAAAAUGAAUUUUUCCCAAUUUACAGGACAACAUCCUUGCAUUUGGAAAGACAAAUAUCAAGAUUAUUUCAAAAUCUUUGACAUACCCAGGAGCAUGUGGGCUACUUAUGCUUCACUCAACAUGGAUGACAAUGCAGCUAAGUGGCUACAGAUGUAUAAGAAAAAGUAUGGCUUAGAAGAUUGGGAUAUUUUUAUCCAAGCUGUGGAGGCCAAGUUUGGAGAUAAUGAUUACAGGACGGCUUUGACACAACUAUUGGAAUUGCAAUAGCAAGAAUCCCUAGAAACUUAUAUACACACCUUUGAAGACCUGCAAUACCAUGUGACAAUGCACAACAGUGAAUUGGGUGAGCUAUUUUUUGUGACACGAUGCAUCAAGGGUCUUAAGUUGGACAUUGGUUGUGUAGUGCAAUCACAAGUCCAUGACACACUGGAAAGAGCUAUCUUACUGGCACGAAUACAACAACAGGUCUUGGACAGAGGGAAAGCAAAGUGGCAGAGAGCUUCUAGCACUGCCAGACAGCUCACUCAGUUACCAAAAGGAGACAUCAAAACCACUACACAAACUUCUCCUCUAUGGAGAGAGAGACAAACAAGGGAUUACAGACGAGCAAAUGGAUUGUGUUAUUUAUGUGCUGAACCAUAUGAUGCCAAUCACAAAGCUGUCUGUACAAAAAGACCUCAACCUCCAGCUCAAGCUAAUGCUUUAGUGCUGAAUGACUUGGAUGUGGUAUUGACUAAUGAAGUGUUGAACCAGCUGGCAAUAGAGGAUGCUUUGGCUGCAGAUUUCUGCCAAUUAUCUCUGAAUGCAAUUGCUAGCACCGAAGUGGGAGAAGCUAUGAAGAUUCGGGCAUUAGUCAACAACAAAGUCAUGCUAAUUCUGCUAGAUAGUGCUAGCUCCCACAGUUUUGUGAGCAGCUCUUUUCUAUCAACUGUGGGGAUUUCUGCUAUACCAACCACACCAAAACAGGUCAGAUUGGCAAAUGGUGACACAAAACUUAUUGAUCACUGGGUUCCUCAGCUAUCAUGGUGGGCCAAUGGUCAUACACUACAGACUAAUAUGCGAGUACUACCUUUGGGGGCUUAUGAUGCUAUCCUAGGGUAUGAUUGGCUAAAACCUCACAGUCCCAUGUGUUGUCAUUGGGAAGAUAGGACUAUACAAUUUGUGGAUAAAGGGAAGGAAACUGUACUCAAAGGAGUACCACCACCAUCACAGAAGCUGCAGGAAGUACCUACCCAUCAAGUGGUGAAAUGGUCAAAAGGGAAUGAUGUUUGGGCUCUGGCAGUGGUGGAAGCAGUCCAAGAGGUGCAGGAUGCAACAGGCAAUGACAGUAUUCAGCAAUUGCUCCAUAACUUUCAAGAUGUCUUUCACCCACCAAAUAAUUUACCACCUUCCAGGUUUUAUGACCAUCAGAUUCCAUUGAUCCCCAAUGCUAUUCCUAUUAAUUCAAAGCCAUAUAAAUAUUCUCCUCAGCAUAAGGAUGAGAUUGAGAAACAGGUCAAAGAGCUAUUAGCUGCAGGUCUCAUUACUCACAGUACUAGCCUUUUUGCCAACCCAGUGUUAUUGGUGUUAAAAAAAGAUGGAACUUGGCGUUUCUGUGUGGAUUACAGGAAAUUGAACUCUCUAACAGUGAAAAACAGAUUUCCAAUGCCUUUAAUUGAUGAGAUUCUGGAUGAAUUGGCUGGUACAAGGUAUUUCACAAAAUUAGAUAUGAGAGCUGGCUAUCACCAAAUCAGAAUGAAAGAGGAAGAUGAGUACAAAACAACCUUUAAGACACAUCAAGGGCACUAUCAGUUCAAGGUAAUGCCUUUUGGCCUGACUAAUGCACCAGCUACUUUUCAAUGCAUAAUGAAUGAGAUUUUAGCUCCUUUCCUUAGAAAAUUUGUUAUGGUCUUCUUGGAUGAUAUUUUGGUAUAUAGUCCAUCUCUGGAGACACAUAUUCAGCAUCUGGCUCUAGUCCUUCAACAGCUAAGAGAGCACAAGUUGUACAUGAAAGCAAGUAAAUGUUCCUUUGCACAACCACAACUAGAAUAUUUAGGCCAUAUUAUCUCUGCUGAAGGAGUGGCAACAGAUCCAAACAAAACUCAAGACAUGCUCAACUGGCCACCACCUACUUCAGUUACUGAAUUGAGGGGAUUUCUAGGUCUCACUAGUUAUUAUAGAAAAUUUGUUAAGCAUUAUGGUUGGAUUGCAAAGCCCCUAACUAACCUAUUAAGGAAGAAUCAGUUUAGUUGGAAUCCUCAAGCUCAGCAAGCUUUUGAUGCUCUCAAACAAGCCAUGUCCAGCACACCUGUACUAGCCUUACCAGAUUUCAACCAACCUUUUAUUGUGGAAACUGAUGCCUGUGAUGGAGGUGUUGGAGCUGUCUUAAUGCAAAAAGGCCAACCUGUAGCAUUUCUAAGCAAAGCAUUGUCCAACCAACAUAAGCAUUUAUCCAUUUAUGAAAAGGAGUUUCUGGCCCUUAUUAUGGCAGUUGAAAAAUGGAGGCACUACCUGCAGAACCAAGAGUUCAUCAUCAGGACUGAUCACAAAAGUCUGCAAUACUUGACUGAGCAAAAUCUGCAUUCUGACAUGCAAAAGAAAGCCAUGGCUAGGUUGAUGGGAAUGCAAUUUAAAGUGGAAUACAAGAAAGGUAAGGAAAAUGUGGCAGCUGAUGCUUUAUCAAGGAUACCUCAUUUAUUUGCUAUUCAGGCUGUUUCAUCUGCCCAACCAGAUUGGAUACAAGAAUUGCUUAACUCUUAUACCACAGAUCAGACAGCUCAACAAUACUUAGCACAACUUGCUAUUACUAAUCAUGAUGCUCAAGGAUUUAGUCUAGACAGAGGUCUCAUCAGAUACAAAGGGAAAUUGUGGGUUGCCCAGAAUUCUGCUCUCAGAACAAAGCUUAUACAUGCUUUACAUUCCAGUGCUAUUGGGGGUCAUUCAGGCAUUCAAGCCACUUUUCACAGACUCAACAAGCUUUUCUAUUGGAAAGGUCUCAAGCAAGAUGUGGAGGAUUUUGUGAAGCAAUGCUCCAUUUGUCAACAAGCUAAGCACUCUAAUAUUUUACCUUCUGGUCUCCUACAGCCUCUUCCAAUUCCAGCAGGAGCAUGGCAGGAUAUCUCCAUGGAUUUCAUAGAAGGCUUACCUAAGUCAGAAGGGUACAAUGUCAUCUUGGUGAUUGUUGAUAGAUUUACCAAAUAUGGCCAUUUCAUCCCACUUAAACAUCCUUUCACAGCCAAGACCAUUGCUAGAGCAGUUUUUGAUAAUGUGGUCAAACUCCAUGGAGUACCUAAAUCCAUUGUCUCUGACAGAGACAAGAUAUUCACCAGUGUCUUUUGGAAGGAGUUGUUUCAAUUAUUGGGAACUCACUUACUUAUGAGCACAGCCUACCAUCCGCAAACUGAUGGACAGACUGAACGAGUCAAUCAGUGUUUGGAGAUGUACCUGAGGUGUGCAGUACAUGAGGAACCCAAGCAGUGGAAAACAUGGCUGUCUCAAGCUGAAUUUUGGUAUAACACAUCCUACCACACUUCUUUGGGAUGCUCUCCUUUCAAAGCCCUCUAUGGACACGAGCCUAAUAUUGGAGUUGUUCCUACAGUCUCUCCACCUACAGCUUCUUCAGGGGCAGAGAUGGUUCAAGAACUGCAGGCCCAAGCUUCUAUUCUUAAGGAACACUUAUACCGAGCUCAAAACAAAAUGAAGACUCAGGCUGAUCGUAAAAGAUGACCACAAGAAUAUCAAAUAGGUGAACAUGUGCUCCUCAAACUGCAACCUUAUGCACAAAGCUCAUUGCUGAACAGACCUUACCCCAAGCUGGCUUUCAAGUAUUUCGGGCCCUAUCAGGUUCUGGACAGAAUUGGAGGAGCAGCCUAUCAACUGGAUUUACCGGAGGACUCACAAAUCCAUCCGGUCUUCCAUGUGUCCCAGCUCAAACCAUUUUUACCUAAUUACACACCAGUUUUCUCUGAUCUUCCUAAAGUUGUAGCUCUUGAUGGCAAAGACGUUGUGCCUGAACAAGUCUUGCAGCGGCGCUUGGUCAAGAAAGGCGGCAAAGCAGUCCCUCAAGCUCUCAUCAAAUGGACUCAUCUACCGGCGGAUGCGGCAACAUGGGAGGAUUGGUAUGUCGUGCAGAAGCGUUUUCCUGGGCAACUUGCUGGAGGACCAGCAAGCUCUGAAGGGGGGGGGCGGAGAUGUCAUGAACUGAUGAAGGCGGACAGAAGACGGGAGUUAGAAAAUACGCUUUUGUUCUGAUGUUUACGUUUUGUGUAACGCUGUCAUGUGGGACCGGUCGGUCAGUGUCUAUAACCGGAAGGAGUCGGGCUUAUACUGUACCCGAUCCAAAACUGCUGUUCAUCUUCUAAAACAAGGAAUAGAACACUCGUUCAAGGGGAUCAGGGUCCUCUACCCUCCCCAUCGAUAUCCACCGUGUCUCUACUCACGUCGACGGCGGUCCGCUGGCGGCCACGGGUGUUACACUAAGCUCAGAUCGGCAUGGAUUGCAGGUGGAGGUGCUUGGUGGGUGGAUUUCGUGGUGGUGUGCUGCUCUCUGUUCGAGCAAGGAAGGAGCAAACGCAAGCUUUUGGUGCUCUCUUUCUUGUCUUGGAAGUGGAGCAGCGCAGGAUUGAGAGGGAAGCAGAGAGAGGGAGGAGCUCAAGCUACUUGGAUUGGAGAAAAUUCAGAUGAGGGAGAGAGGUGCAUGCUGCAGCUGUUUGCUUUGCAGAUUGAAGGCGGGAGCAUAGAGAAAGAGAGGAGCAGAGCCGGAUUGGAGAUUGCAGAUUGGAGACGGCCUGCUCUCCUUGCUAGCAUCCUUCGUACGGAUAAAAGAACAGAUGAGAUCGCGCAUUGAGUUGUUAUUGCUAGUUCUUGGAGGAUGUCUUCAUCAAUGGCGGGCGACGACGAGCCGAUGCCGUGUUGGGCGGGUCCGACCAGUCGUCCGCUCGAUGACGCCAUGACGGGGAUGGGACUAUGGGAGACAGCAGCACGAGCUCGCGGCGAGAGAAGGGAAAGAGAAUGAAGGUUGGUAACUUCACCUGUAUAGCUGAUGCACGGUUAUCGUAUCAACUAAACCAAACCAAACACAAUCGUGUAC